AGAAGACGGGGUGUGAUGGGAAAGGUGCCCACCCCCUGCUCUGUCCCAGCAUACCACCAAACCUCCAACAAGGCCUUUUGCAGUCUCAGUCUCAUGCUUGGAUCAGAAGAGCAUUGGAGAUAUUGGCCCUGAGCAGGACAGAGCAUAUCUGUAACAGUGUCCAGGAACAAUAUACCUUUGAGGGAAGAUGCUUAUUGCCAGAUUAUUGGGAUUUCUCCAAAUAUGAAAGACUUCGUUCUAGGUAGAGACAAGGUCCAGGAGGCCAAGGUGACCGAAGUGAAAAUCAACGAGGCCCGAGAGCACUACCGGCCAGCAGCUGCCAGGGCCUCACUGCUCUACUUCAUCAUGAACGACCUCAGCAAGAUCCAUCCAAUGUACCAGUUUUCUCUCAAGGCCUUCAGUAUCGUCUUCCAGAAGGCUGUGGAGAGGGCUGCUCCUGACGAAAGCCUCAGGGAGCGGGUGGCCAACCUAAUAGACAGCAUAACCUUCUCUGUGUACCAGUACACCACCCGCGGGCUCUUUGAGUGUGAUAAGCUGACCUACCUUGCCCAGCUCACCUUUCAGAUUCUCCUCAUGAACCGAGAAGUCAAUGCAGCGGAGUUGGAUUUCCUGCUUCGAUCUCCAGUGCAGACGGGCACCGCCAGCCCCGUGGAGUUCCUCUCCCAUCAGGCGUGGGGAGCCGUCAAGGUACUUUCAUCAAUGGAAGAAUUCUCUAAUCUGGAUCGGGACAUAGAGGGAUCUGCUAAGAGCUGGAAAAAGUUUGUGGAGUCCGAAUGUCCUGAGAAAGAGAAGCUCCCACAGGAGUGGAAAAAUAAGACAGCCCUGCAGCGUCUCUGCAUGAUGAGAGCCAUGCGGCCCGACCGGAUGACCUAUGCUUUGCGAGAUUUUGUUGAAGAGAAGUUAGGAAGCAAAUACGUGGUGGGAAGAGCCCUAGAUUUUGCAACCUCAUUUGAAGAAUCGGGACCAGCCACUCCCAUGUUUUUUAUCCUGUCUCCAGGGGUGGACCCACUGAAGGAUGUAGAAAGUCAAGGAAGAAAACUUGGAUACACCUUCAAUAAUCAGAACUUUCACAACGUGUCUUUGGGGCAAGGACAGGAAGUGGUGGCUGAGGCUGCGCUGGACCUCGCUGCCAAGAAAGGUCACUGGGUUAUUUUGCAGGUAAAGAGAUGUUCUUCUUUACCUUUUAUCACCCAGCCCACUGCCUUGAACAUAGCAGACACUGAAACAAAAGGCCGGUGGGCCAAGGAAUCCAUGAAGAAAUUAAAGAAAGAAUAAAUGCAAAAGCCAGUCACUCCCAAGCUUCCUGGCUUUCGCUACCAUGAACCUUUCCCAUAUCCUGAUUACUGGUGACAUCACAUCUUGCUGCUGGGUCUUUGUCCUUAAUUAUUCUGUUGUUUAUUUGGAGCCUAGCAACUGAGAGAUCUGGCCCCUCCCAGGGCCUCCUUUUCCAGAAACAUCAG
RNAcentral lists this small RNA (1460 nucleotides) under Pongo abelii (Sumatran orangutan). Its description in RNAcentral is "processed transcript". The record is from RNAcentral. Lineage: Eukaryota; Metazoa; Chordata; Mammalia; Primates; Hominidae.